Molecule: ribosomal RNA, 159 nt
Filed under: Scrippsiella hangoei
Lineage: Eukaryota; Dinophyceae; Peridiniales; Peridiniaceae
Description: partial Microsporidia small subunit ribosomal RNA
Source: RNAcentral
AGUAGUGGAAUAGGUGAUUUAAUUCGAUGUUGCGCGUUAUAGUUUUCUACGAAGUUCUAGAGUAACUCAAUUUAUUCCCGCGCAACCCGGUAGUGCAUGGCUGUUUUAAAGGAAUGUUUUGAGUUAUCUUGUUUACUCAGGCUAUAGUUGUUAUCUGCU